AAACAUGGCGUCAUGCUCAAAAUAUGAGGUCGGGCCUGCCCACUGGAUUGGAUUCUGAAGGGCCGCGGUAAGCCUGAACCGUGCUAAGGUAGCAUAAUAAUUUGCUUUUUAAAUGGAAGCUAGUAUGAAGGGCUUGACAAGGAAGGAGCUGUCUCCUUUAAAUUUAUGAAUUUAACUUUUAAGUUAAAAGGCUUAAAUGAACUAAAGGGACGAUAAGACCCUAUGAAACUUAAUGCUUUUUGAAGGGAUUUAUAAAAGAUAUAAUUGUAGGACACUACAGAAAGUAUUUCGUUGGGGCAACGGGAAUAAACCAAAAACUGUUUCUUANAAUAAGUUAAUUAUAAUUAGUUUAUGAUCCUUUUUAAAGAUUAAAAGAAUAAGUUACUCUAGGGAUAACAGCGCUAUUUUCUUUGAGAGGCCUUAUCGACAGGAGUAGUAGCGACCUCGAUGUUGAAUCAAGAUUUCUACCAGGCGCAGGAGUUUGGUAAGUUGGUCUGUUCGACCUUUAAAAUCUUACGUGAUCUGAGUUCAG
This 532-nucleotide ribosomal RNA is filed under the name Cuapetes seychellensis. RNAcentral's name for it is "partial large subunit ribosomal RNA". It matches the Rfam family "Bacterial large subunit ribosomal RNA", at positions 1811 to 2614 of the family's 2925-position model. The record is from RNAcentral. Lineage: Eukaryota; Metazoa; Arthropoda; Malacostraca; Decapoda; Palaemonidae.